Molecule: transfer RNA, 76 nt
Filed under: Mycoplasma miroungirhinis
Lineage: Bacteria; Bacillati; Mycoplasmatota; Mollicutes; Mycoplasmatales; Mycoplasmataceae
Description: Mycoplasma sp. Mirounga ES2806-NAS tRNA-Thr
Rfam family: tRNA
About the family: Transfer RNA (tRNA) molecules are approximately 80 nucleotides in length. Their secondary structure includes four short double-helical elements and three loops (D, anti-codon, and T loops).
Source: RNAcentral
GCCAAUUUAGCUCAGUUGGUAGAGCAACUGAUUCGUAAUUAGUUGGUCGUAGGUUCGAAUCCUAUAAUUGGCACCA